CAAGUUAGAUCUAUUUUUAGUAUUUCAUUUACAUUGAAAAGAAUUAUUGUUUAAUCAAUUUAAUUUGA
RNAcentral lists this transfer RNA (68 nucleotides) under Plectrocnemia sp. 1 YW-2021a. RNAcentral describes it as "tRNA-Val". Lineage: Eukaryota; Metazoa; Arthropoda; Insecta; Trichoptera; Polycentropodidae. The record is from RNAcentral.